Molecule: ribosomal RNA, 244 nt
Filed under: uncultured bacterium
Lineage: Bacteria
Description: partial 16S ribosomal RNA
Rfam family: Bacterial small subunit ribosomal RNA
Source: RNAcentral
UACGAAGGGGGCUAGCGUUGUUCGGAAUUACUGGGCGUAAAGCGCACGUAGGCGGAUUGUUAAGUGAGGGGUGAAAUCCCAGGGCUCAACCCUGGAACUGCCUUUCAUACUGGCAAUCUCGAGUCCGAGAGAGGUGAGUGGAAUUCCGAGUGUAGAGGUGAAAUUCGUAGAUAUUCGGAGGAACACCAGUGGCGAAGGCGCUCACUGGCGUCGGUACUGACGCUGGAGGCACGAAAGCCAGGGG